This 1081-nucleotide long non-coding RNA is filed under the name Oryza sativa Indica Group (long-grained rice). RNAcentral describes it as "lncRNA OsPr106_01g0014000". The record is from RNAcentral. Lineage: Eukaryota; Viridiplantae; Streptophyta; Magnoliopsida; Poales; Poaceae.
ACCGCCCAUCCAAAUCCAACGUCCGCCUAAAGAAAAACACGCACACACUUCUUCUGCUUCCCUCCCCUUGUUUCCGCUCCACUUCCCUUCCAAGCAAGAAAACCGAGGCUUCAGCUUAGCUAGGACCGACCGAUCCGAUGUGCGGCGGUGCAAUCAUCUACGACUACAUCCCGGCGCGCCGCCGGGUGUGCGCCUCCGACUUUUGGCCCGACGCCGACGACUCCGACCCCCACACCCCCGCUCCCGAGAAACGUAACUUCUUCUCCUCUCAUGGCCUCUGCUUCUUGCUCUGUUUUUUUUUCUUUCUUGGCUGAUGUCUCUGGUUGAAUUGUGCAGCGCCGCGCGCGAAGAGGGAGCGGAAGAACCAGUACCGCGGGAUCAGGCAGCGGCCGUGGGGGAAGUGGGCGGCGGAGAUCCGCGACCCGGUGAAGGGGGUGCGCGUCUGGCUCGGCACCUACCCGACCGCCGAGGCCGCCGCGCGGGCCUACGACCGCGCCGCGCGCCGCAUCAGGGGCGCCAAGGCGAAGGUCAACUUCCCCAACGACUUGGGCGCCGCCCCCGCGCCGGCCGCGGCGGCGGCGAAGGCCGUCCCUCGCGUCGCGCCCACGCCGGCCGUGCUCCCGCCGCCCAAGAUGGAGGCGGUGUCCGAGGGCGCCGGCGCCUGCUCCUCCGACGAGGUCAAGGAGCUGUCCGAGGAGCUGCUCGCGUACGAGAACUACAUGAGCUUCCUCGGCAUCCCCUACAUGGAGGGCGGCGCCGCCUCCGCCGCCGGUGCCGAGGAAGCCGCGGCGCCCGCCGGGCUCUGGACCUUCGAAGACUACGAGCUGCCGUCGCUAGCGCUCUAGUAAAAAUGUCACAAUAAAAAUGACAUGUAUGUGAAAAAAAUUUUCCCUACCCGUAGUAAGUAACCAGUGUCUUUUUUUACCGUACUCUAUGCGUUAUUUUUGUUGAAAUUAAUCCAUUGUUGAAGUUGUAACUGUGCAUGGUCGGCGCCAGUCUCAGUGAAGCUUUUGCUGAAUCCAAGUUUUUCUCUAAUGUAAAUAUGAAAUUUCCAGUUAACUCAGCUUGCAAUUCUUACCAC